UACGGAGGGGGCCAGCGUUGUUCGGAAUUAUUGGGCGUAAAGGGCGCGUAGGCGGUCGGGUAAGUCUGACGUGAAAUCCCUUGGCUCAACCAAGGAACUGCGUCUUAAACUGCCCGGCUUGAGUCCGGGAGAGGGUAGUGGAAUUCCCAGUGUAGCGGUGAAAUGCGUAGAUAUUGAGAGGAACACCGGUGGCGAAGGCGGCUACCUGGACCGGUACUGACGCUGAGGCGCGAAAGCUAGGGUAGCAAACAGG
This 253-nucleotide ribosomal RNA is filed under the name uncultured bacterium. Its description in RNAcentral is "partial 16S ribosomal RNA". It matches the Rfam family "Bacterial small subunit ribosomal RNA", at positions 524 to 776 of the family's 1533-position model. The record is from RNAcentral.